Molecule: long non-coding RNA, 533 nt
Filed under: Androctonus crassicauda
Lineage: Eukaryota; Metazoa; Arthropoda; Arachnida; Scorpiones; Buthidae
Source: RNAcentral
ACCUCCCAAGUACAAGCAAUAAUCCACCUGUAAUUGAUGACGCCACUUUCCAUUUUGACAGAAUACUAACAAGUAAGUGGCGGGACGAAAGAAACCUUUCUACAGGCUGCCCAUCUCUGCGGAGGAGUCAACCGGAAUGUGGAGGGCAGGGAUUGACGAGUCGGGCCAAGAACCCAUGAUAAAUAUUUUCAAAGGGACUUUCAUUCUGGAGACUCGAGAUUCGAACUCGAGUCGUCCAGAAAGGAAAGCCGAAGUAUUUCCACGCGGCCAAUCCGGCCGACUCCGAUUGAUUAUUAAAAGUGCGAAUGGGAAUUUCAAACAAACUAUACGUUACAGAAGAAACGAACCAUUGCGGAAAUGUAUAACAUGCAUGCACUAAUAUAUAGCCCGAUGCACGAGUUCCAACCACGACGAGUCCAUUUGCAUUCUACAGAUGGCGCCACAUUUUGACAGUUUCCGGUAAAUAUUCCUAUUAUCAUGGUCUAUAAAUAUAUAUGGUCAUCCCACUCCUACCGAUAACAAUAGAAAAACUG